This 253-nucleotide ribosomal RNA is filed under the name uncultured bacterium. RNAcentral describes it as "partial 16S ribosomal RNA". It matches the Rfam family "Bacterial small subunit ribosomal RNA", at positions 524 to 776 of the family's 1533-position model. The record is from RNAcentral.
GACGAACCACCCAAACGUUAUUCGGAAUUACUGGGCUUAAAGAGUGCGUAGGCGGCCUUGAAAGUAGGGUGUGAAAUCCCACAGCUCAACUGUGGAACUGCGCUCUAAACUACAUGGCUAGAGGGAUAUAGAGGUGAGCGGAACUGAUGGUGGAGCGGUGAAAUGCGUUGAUAUCAUCAGGAACACCGGAGGCAAAGGCGGCUCACUGGGUAUCUUCUGACGCUGAGGUACGAAAGCUAGGGGAGCGAACGGG